RNAcentral lists this ribosomal RNA (333 nucleotides) under uncultured bacterium. RNAcentral describes it as "bacterial SSU rRNA". It matches the Rfam family "Bacterial small subunit ribosomal RNA", at positions 28 to 358 of the family's 1533-position model. The record is from RNAcentral.
GAUGAACGCUAGCGGCAGGCCUAAUACAUGCAAGUCGAACGGCCCCGACACUUCGGUGUCGGGGUAGUGGCGCACGGGUGCGUAACGCGUACACAACAUACCCUUUACAGGGGGAUAGCGGCGGGAAACUGCCAGUAAUACCCCAUGUCCUUGCGAGGUGGCAUCAUUUUGCAAAGAAAGUUCAAGCGGUAAAGGAUUGGUGUGCGUCCGAUUAGCUAGUUGGCGGGGUAACGGCCCACCAAGGCGACGAUCGGUAGGGGGGUGUGAGAGCAUGGCCCCCCACACGGUACGUNAGACACGGACCCGGACCUCCUACGGGAGGGCAGCAGUAAA